This 1113-nucleotide long non-coding RNA is filed under the name Salmo salar (Atlantic salmon). RNAcentral's name for it is "lncRNA (ENSSSAG00000097802.1)". Lineage: Eukaryota; Metazoa; Chordata; Actinopteri; Salmoniformes; Salmonidae. The record is from RNAcentral.
AUGAAUUCCACUCCAAGACACUGGUUGUGUCCCAAAUGACAUCCUAUUUCCAUUUGAGAAAUAUUGAUGGAUGAAGUGUUUGGUGAUACAAAGCACAACCUUCCCUUUCAAAAGCCUGGCUCUGCCCUUCUUAAAACAAAACACCAAUCACAGUCCUGUCCUUCUUAAGUCAACCAUGUAACUGAAUGGAUGGUUUGAGGAUUAUGAUUGUCCCUGGGCUUUUUUGAUCAGGUUUUAACUUUAGAGGACAGAGUCAGGGAGAGGUCAGGGAGAGGUCAGAGAGAGGUCAGAGAGAGGUCAGAGAGAGAUCAGAGGAAGGCAGAGAGAGGUCAGGGAGAGGUCAGAGAGAGGUCAGGGAGAGGUCAGGGAGAGGUCAGAGGAAGGCAGAGGAGGUCAGAGAGAGGUCAGAGGAAGGCAGAGAGAGGUCAGAGGAAGGCAGAGAGAGGUCAGAGGAAGGCAGAGAGGUCACAGGAAGGCAGAGAGAGGUCAGAAAGAGGUCAGAGGAAGGCAGAGAGAGGUCAGAGGAAGGCAGAGAGAGGUCAGAGAGAGGUCAGAGGAAGGCAGAGAGAGGUCAGAGGAGAGGUCAGAGGAGAGACGUGAGGGAGGCAGAGAGAGGUCAGAGAGAGGUCAGAGAGAGGUCAGAGGAAGGCAGAGAGAGGUCAGAGAGAGGUCAGAGAGAGGUCAGAGGAAGGCAGAGAGAGGUCAGAGAGAGGUCAGAGGAAGGCAGAGAGAGGUCAGAGAGAGGUCAGAGGAAGGCAGAGAGAGGUCAGAGAGAGGUCAGAGGAAGGCAGAGAGAGGUCAGAGAGAGGUCAGAGGAAGGCAGAGAGAGGUCAGAGAGAGGUCAGAGGAAGGCAGAGAGAGGUCAGAGAGAGGUCAGAGGAAGGCAGAGAGAGGUCAGAGAGAGGUCAGAGGAGGAUUGGAGUGAGAUUCUUAUGGUGUUUGGAAGAGAUUCUGGGGAGAAUUGAAAGAGAACCGGUGAUAUUCUUGUUAUUUUCAGUGUUAUAAAAAGUGAAUUUCCUCCACUAAACACUUCUAAUUCUUUAAAUGUAUUUUUUUAAUCUCUUUGCUGUUUUUAAAACUCUUCAUCCUGUCAUUUAGACUGAUUUGAUGGUG